Non-coding RNA from Myotis davidii, 71 nucleotides. Lineage: Eukaryota; Metazoa; Chordata; Mammalia; Chiroptera; Vespertilionidae. The record is from Rfam.
CUUGGGGGAGGGUUCCUCAGCCCAGAUUGCGAGAAGAUGCAGGCCAGGCAGAGGGACCCCACCAGUGCACA